RNAcentral lists this ribosomal RNA (492 nucleotides) under uncultured bacterium. RNAcentral describes it as "partial 16S ribosomal RNA". It matches the Rfam family "Bacterial small subunit ribosomal RNA", at positions 29 to 507 of the family's 1533-position model. The record is from RNAcentral.
AGUGAACGCUGGCGGUAGGCCUAACACAUGCAAGUCGAACGGCAGCACAGUAAGAGCUUGCUCUUACGGGUGGCGAGUGGCGGACGGGUGAGGAAUACAUCGGAAUCUACUUUUUCGUGGGGGAUAACGUAGGGAAACUUCCGCUAAUACCGCAUACGACCUACGGGUGAAAGCAGGGGAUCUUCAGACCUUGCGCGAUUGAAUGAGCCGAUGUCGGAUUAGCUAGUUGGCGGGGUAAAGGCCCACCAAGGCGACGAUCCGUAGCUGGUCUGAGAGGAUGAUCAGCCACACUGGAACUGAGACACGGUCCAGACUCCUACGGGAGGCAGCAGUGGGGAAUAUUGGACAAUGGGCGCAAGCCUGAUCCAGCCAUACCGCGUGGGUGAAGAAGGCCUUCGGGUUGUAAAGCCCUUUUGUUGGGAAAGAAAAGCAGCAGGUGAAUACCCCGCUGUUCUGACGGUACCCAAAGAAUAAGCACCGGCUAACUUCGUG